CCUACGGGCGGCUGCAGUGGGGAAUCUUGCGCAAUGGACGAAAGUCUGACGCAGCGACGCCGCGUGAGUGAUGAAGGCCUUCGGGUUGUAAAGCUCUGUGGGGAGAGACGAAUAAGGUGCAGUUAAUAUCUGCAUCGAUGACGGUACCUCCUUAGCAAGCACCGGCUAACUCUGUGCCAGCAGCCGCGGUAAGACAGAGGGUGCAAACGUUGUUCGGAAUCACUGGUCGUAAAGCAUGUAUAUCCGGUGAGAAAGCCCCGGGCUCAACCCGGGAAGUGCAUUCGAUACUGUUUGACUUGAGUACUGGAGAGGUUGGUGGAAUUCUCGGUGUAGAGGUGAAAUUCGUAGAUAUCGGGAAGAACAUCUGUGGCGAAGGCGGCCAACUGGACAGAUACUGACGCUGAGACACGAAAGCGUGGGGAGCAAACAGGAUUAGAUACCCCAGUAGUC
This 450-nucleotide ribosomal RNA is filed under the name uncultured bacterium. Its description in RNAcentral is "partial 16S ribosomal RNA". It matches the Rfam family "Bacterial small subunit ribosomal RNA", at positions 338 to 795 of the family's 1533-position model. The record is from RNAcentral.